RNAcentral lists this transfer RNA (71 nucleotides) under Saccoglossus kowalevskii. RNAcentral describes it as "tRNA-Gly". It matches the Rfam family "tRNA". From Rfam's summary of the family: Transfer RNA (tRNA) molecules are approximately 80 nucleotides in length. Their secondary structure includes four short double-helical elements and three loops (D, anti-codon, and T loops). Further hydrogen bonds mediate the characteristic L-shaped molecular structure. tRNAs have two regions of fundamental functional importance: the anti-codon, which is responsible for specific mRNA codon recognition, and the 3' end, to which the tRNAs corresponding amino acid is attached (by aminoacyl-tRNA synthetases). tRNAs cope with the degeneracy of the genetic code in two manners: having more than one tRNA (with a specific anti-codon) for a particular amino acid; and 'wobble' base-pairing, i.e. permitting non-standard base-pairing at the 3rd anti-codon position. The record is from RNAcentral. Lineage: Eukaryota; Metazoa; Hemichordata; Enteropneusta; Harrimaniidae.
GCAUUGGAGGUUCAGUGGUAGAAUACUCGCCUGCCACGCGGGAGGCCCGGGUUCGAUUCCCGGCCAAUGCA